UACGUAGGUGGCAAGCGUUGUCCGGAUUUACUGGGCGUAAAGAGCGCGCAGGCGGUCGUUCAAGUCGGGUGUGAAAGCCCCCGGCUCAACUGGGGAGGGUCACUCGAUACUGAUCGACUUGAAGGCAGGAGAGGGAAGCGGAAUUCCCGGUGUAGUGGUGAAAUGCGUAGAUAUCGGGAGGAACACCAGUGGCGAAGGCGGCUUCCUGGCCUGUUCUUGACGCUGAGGCGCGAAAGCUAGGGGAGCAAACGGG
RNAcentral lists this ribosomal RNA (253 nucleotides) under uncultured bacterium. Its description in RNAcentral is "partial 16S ribosomal RNA". It matches the Rfam family "Bacterial small subunit ribosomal RNA", at positions 524 to 776 of the family's 1533-position model. The record is from RNAcentral.